Molecule: long non-coding RNA, 768 nt
Organism: Raphanus sativus (radish)
Lineage: Eukaryota; Viridiplantae; Streptophyta; Magnoliopsida; Brassicales; Brassicaceae
Exons: 2
Source: RefSeq, a predicted model, not a curated record
CAAUCUCCACCAUUGAUUAUAGCGUUUGAUUAUAUUAGUUUAAUAAUGGUCCAAAUCUGCGCCCUUUCUCCUAAUUGGCUAAUACAUGACUCCCAAGAUUGCCAUCUCAGCCAUUAAUUUCAUUUUAAUCUAAGGGUCAAAACUUUUUUGGUUUUCUCUACUCUCUCUGACAUUUUCUUUCUUCUUUCUCCUCAUUCAUCUCUUCUGCAAACAGAAGAUAUCUCUCAUUCAAUUCACAAUUGUUUCUUUCUCUUCCUUUCUCAAACACAAAUGCACGAGUAAAGAUUGAUUAAUUUAUACAAACAAUUGUAUUUAACUCCAGCAAUCCAACGUAUUCUGAAGCUGUUCAACAAUCUAAGUACAGAUUGAUUGGAGAAUCCAGUCAAACAUACGUCUCAAGAACUGGAUUCUGGCGGAGAAGAGAUGCCAUAUGCGGCGGAGGAAUUGAGAUCCAGGCGAGUCAUCAAUGGACUUGGCGCUGUUGCCUGAAGGUUGAAGAAUCAAAGAACGGGAAGCAGAAGGUGGAACAGGAAGAAGAAGAAAAGACGGCGUGACAUAGUGUGAUGGUGUACUAGCGCGACGCCGCGCUUGGUAAAACGGAGCAACACGAUGGCUCUUCAGCUCCAGCCAUACACUUCCUCGUGGCGGCGCAAGAGGCUAUCCAAGACAUAGGUUUAGGUUAUUUUGUAAACCAGUUUGUAAACCAAUUUAAAUUUGUAAACCAUAAAUACUAUUGUUAAUAAAAUAAAAUCAUUUGUUUUGUCUAGA